CACGUAGGCGGCCUUUCAAGUGCGAAGUGAAAUCCCACGGCUCACCCGUGGACGUGCUUUGCAUACUGGGAGGCUCGAGGACGGUAGAGGAGAGCGGAACUCUUGGUGGAGCGGUGAAAUGCGUAGAUAUCAAGAGGAACACCGAAGGCGAAGGCAGCUCUCUGGUCCGUUUCUGACGCUGAGGUGCGAAAGCCAGGGUAGCGAACG
Molecule: ribosomal RNA, 207 nt
Filed under: uncultured bacterium
Lineage: Bacteria
Description: partial 16S ribosomal RNA
Rfam family: Bacterial small subunit ribosomal RNA
Source: RNAcentral